GCAGGCGCGAAACCUUUACACUGCACGCAAGUGCGAUAAGGGGACUCCGAGUGCGAGGGCAUAUCGUCCUCGCUUUUCUGUACCGUAGGGUGGUACAGGAACAAGAGCUGGGCAAGACCGGCGCCAGCCGCCGCGGUAAUACCGGCAGCUCAAGUGAUGGCCGAUCUUAUUGGGCCUAAAGCGUCCGUAGCCGGCCUCGCAAGUCCGUCGGGAAAUCCACGCGCCCAACGCGUGGGCGUCCGGCGGAAACUCCGAGGCUUGGGACCAGAAGGCUCGAGGGGUACGUCCGGGGUAGGAGUGAAAUCCCGUAAUCCCGGACGGACCACCGAUGGCGAAAGCACCUCGAGAAGACGGAUCCGACGGUGAGGGACGAAAGCUCGGGUCUCGAACCGGAUUAGAUACCCGGGUAGUCCGAGCCGUAAACGAUGUUCGCUAGGUGUGGCACUGGCUACGAGCCAGUGCUGUGCCGUAGGGAAGCCGAGAAGCGAACCGCCUGGGAAGUACGUCCGCAAGGAUGAAACUUAAAGGAAUUGGCGGGGGAGCACUACAACCGGAGGAGCCUGCGGUUUAAUUGGAUUCAACGCCGG
RNAcentral lists this ribosomal RNA (587 nucleotides) under uncultured haloarchaeon. Its description in RNAcentral is "bacterial SSU rRNA". It matches the Rfam family "Archaeal small subunit ribosomal RNA", at positions 335 to 921 of the family's 1478-position model. The record is from RNAcentral. Lineage: Archaea; Methanobacteriati; Methanobacteriota; Halobacteria; Halobacteriales; Halobacteriaceae.